GUAGGUGGCAAGCGUUGUCCGGAAUUAUUGGGCGUAAAGCGCGCGCAGGUGGGUUCUUUAAGUCUGAUGUGAAAGCCCCCGGGCUCAACCGGGGAGGGUCAUUGGAAACUGGGGAACUUGAGUGCAGGAGAGGAAAGUGGAAUCCACGUGUAGCGGUGAAAUGCGUAGAUAUGUGGAGGAACACCAGUGGCGAAGGCGACUUUCUGGCCUGUAACUGACACUGAGGCGCGAAAGCGUGGGGAGCAAACAGGAUUAGAUACCCUGGUAGUCCACGCCGUAAACGAUGAGUGCUAAGUGUUGGGGGGUUUCCGCCCCUCAGUGCUGCAGCUAACGCAUUAAGCACUCCGCCUGGGGAGUACGGUCGCAAGACUG
This 372-nucleotide ribosomal RNA is filed under the name uncultured organism. RNAcentral describes it as "partial 16S ribosomal RNA". It matches the Rfam family "Bacterial small subunit ribosomal RNA", at positions 527 to 896 of the family's 1533-position model. The record is from RNAcentral.